AGCAGCCGCGGUAAUUCCAGCUCCAAUAGCGUAUAUUAAAGUUGUUGCAGUUAAAAAGCUCGUAGUUGAAUUUCGGGAUCAAUAUGUUGGUCGUGCCUCGGUACGUACUAGCUUAUUGGUUUCUCCUUUCUGAAGAACCAUGAUGUCAUUUAUUUGGUGUCGUGGGGAAUCAGGACUGUUACUUUGAAAAAAUUAGAGUGUUUAAAGCAGGCUCACGCUUGAAUACAUUAGCAUGGAAUAAUGAAAUAGGACGUUUGAUUCUAUUUUGUUGGUUUCUAGGAUCGACGUAAUGAUUAAUAGGGAUAGUUGGGGGCAUUAGUAUUCAAUUGUCAGAGGUGAAAUUCUUGGAUUUAUUGAAGACUAACUACUGCGAAAGCAUUUGCCAAGGAUGUUUUCAUUAAUCAAGAACGAAAGUUAGGGGAUCGAAGACGAUCAGAUACCGUCGUAGUCUUAACCAUAAACUAUGCCGACUAGGGAUCGGAUGAUGUAAUUUUUAAUGACUCAUUCGGCGCCUUAAC
Molecule: ribosomal RNA, 518 nt
Filed under: uncultured Glomus
Lineage: Eukaryota; Fungi; Glomeromycota; Glomeromycetes; Glomerales; Glomeraceae
Description: SSU rRNA
Rfam family: Eukaryotic small subunit ribosomal RNA
Source: RNAcentral